GCAAGCUAUAUUAGAAGCCAAAAGAACUUGUGAUAAAGCUUCAUCCUCUGGUGAUUCUGAAUCUUCUCAGGGGCCUAGAGUGAUUGUUGUAGGACCUACUGACUCUGGAAAGAGUACCUUGUCGAGGAUGCUUCUUAGCUGAGCGGCUAAGCAAGGUUCGAAGCCUACCUUCGUUGACUUGGAUAUUGGACAGGGAUCUAUAACGAUUCCUGGAUGCAUUGCUGCUACACCAAUUGAAAUGCCCAUUGACCCUGUUGAAGGAAUUACUCUUGAGAUGCCUCUUGUUUACUUUUUUGGCCAUACAACUCCAAGG
Molecule: non-coding RNA, 313 nt
Organism: Arachis ipaensis
Lineage: Eukaryota; Viridiplantae; Streptophyta; Magnoliopsida; Fabales; Fabaceae
Source: RefSeq, a predicted model, not a curated record